RNAcentral lists this long non-coding RNA (1153 nucleotides) under Astyanax mexicanus (Mexican tetra). Its description in RNAcentral is "lncRNA (ENSAMXG00005020789.1)". The record is from RNAcentral. Lineage: Eukaryota; Metazoa; Chordata; Actinopteri; Characiformes; Acestrorhamphidae.
GGGGGCACAGUUUCUCUGAGCGCAAAUAAAAUAAUGGGAGAGAAAUGAGAAGGAAAACAAAAGCCAAGCGGAUUCCCGACUACGAAAAUGAAGCGGACGAGGAGGAAGAACAAAAAGCGGACGAAUUCCACCACGUUCUGCAGAAACGAAGAAAACAAAUGUAUCCUGCCAAAGAGCGAGCUGAGGGGAACCCAUCACCAGCUGCAGCUCGCCAGAAGUUGGACAUGAGGGCUUAUGAGUUCGACUGCUCUCCUGCAGACUACAACUUCAGCAACACUCACUCCACUUCUGAGCAGGAAGCUGACUAUUUGCAGUCAUAUUCGAAAAUGGAGCUGAUUGCCAUGGUCCUAUGCAUGCAGAGAGAAAUGGAGAGCUUGAAAGAGCAACUUAGGUGCCUUACAGCAUGUGGAAAGCUGGCCAAAAACCUUGAGGCCCUGAUCGAGAAGACCCAGAUGUGGCCUAAUGGGGAUAGGAAGCCCUCUCUCGCCGUCUCCCCCAGCCCAGUAAGAGUGCCUGUGGAUAUGGAUGCUUUGAUGCCAACUAUGCUGUGUGCCCCAACUGUUCUGAAUGGGCAGUGGGUCAAGCAGGAGUCUGUGACACAGAAACCUAAUGAGACCCCCCAUGGGGACGAGCUCUUCUCAGAGUUUAUCACUCCUGAGCUUUUGGAGAGAUGUAACACAGGAACCACUGCCCAGAAGUUGACCAAUGAUCUGCUCCGUGGACUUUAUGAAAGAGACUGCCUGGCCUCUCACUCCAUCUCUGGUGUGGUGUACAACAAGAGAGGUCAGCCCAAACCUGCCCUUCCCACUGAGGAGAUCCAGGCUAUCCUAAGAACUGUCCAAUAUUUCUUUCCUGGGAAGACUGACGCAGAGAUUAAGGGCUACAUCCGUCAGAAACUUCAAAAUGAGGCAAAACGAUUGAGGAAAAAGCCUUCACUCCCUGGCCCAGAAUCUAGAGCUUUGAGUCUGCCUGGCCCAAUAUUGAAUGCUCCUCACUUGGAAUUGAUUGGACAAAAGUCCAUCGUUUGAUUAGUAGUCAACAGUUUUGUGUCGUCUGAUGAGAUAACCUAAUUCAGUGUUAAAUAUGGUCAGGAAAUAAAAUUCUUGACUCAUACAAGAUUGAUGAGAGAUGAUGUAUACAUGAUCCUUGCCAU